Cyprinus carpio carpio is the source of this 2787-nucleotide long non-coding RNA. Lineage: Eukaryota; Metazoa; Chordata; Actinopteri; Cypriniformes; Cyprinidae. The record is from Ensembl.
AGUACCUAAUGAAUAGUACUAGCACUUAAUGGAAAAGAUACUAGUAUCUAAAAAUAAGUACUAGUACCAUAAAAAUAGAUCCUAGUACGGCUUAUAGAUUAAAUGUUAAAACGGCUUUCCAUACACUGGGCGUUACCAAAGAGAACUUUGGUUUUAUGAGACCGGUUUAUAGCCUACAUUGAGCUAAUUCAGCCGAAGCCUUUCAGAUACAGUAUCAUCAUGUAUACCGCGCUUUUGUUUCUUGCUUUGUUCUCGUGCUUUUCUCUCAUAGCGGGAAAGUCGCUUGAAGGUGAAGCGUGUGUUGGGAUUCAGAGAGAAGAUUCCUAUGACUUUGAGCUGCCCAACGCUGUAGCGGUGAACGUGCAAGACCCUGCGUGUGAUGCGGAGUGGACCAUUGACCAAUUCACAGCAUUCCUGGAUGGAAAUUCAACUCACUGUCCUCAUCCCUUCAAAAAAGUGACUCGUCGGGGGAUCAGUGUGUCUUACUGUCCAGCUUCAGUCAAAUUCCACGUCUCUUGUCCAAUAUACACCAAAGUCCUCACAUGUUGUUGCACAAAUUCCACCAAAAAUCCAGUUUAUAACACAACCCUGCCAUCUGGAGAUAUGUCUUCCUCUGCCAUCAAAACUGAUUCAUCAGUGAGGAUACACUAUUGUGCCAUUGCUGUUGCUGUCACGUUUGCCUUAACCCUCGUCAUCUUGGCUUUCCUCAUCUGCAGGACAAACAGCAGUGCAAAAUAUGCUCCUACAAGAGCCUCAGCUGAUGGACAAAACCAGCCUUGUUCAGUAUAAUUAUCCUAAGGAGGCAUCUGAACUUGCACUAGAAACACAUGGCGUGGAGUCAUGACAACACAUUAUCCGAUAAUGUAACAUGUAUUAUAUUAUAUUAUAUUAUAUUAUAUUAUAUUAUAUUAUAUUAUAUUAUAUUAUAUUAGAGAAAACAUAAGCACUAAAUGAAACAGUAAAAUAUCUGAAUUUUACUAUAUAUAUAUAUAUAUAUAUAUAUAUAUAUAUAUAUAUAAUAAAUAUACUAAAUAAAAAUUUAAUUAUAUUAUAUUAUAUAUUUAUUAUAUUAUGAAAGCUAAUAUAAAGUUUAUAACUUUGUAUUUCCUCCCAGAAUUUACAAUAGCUCCCUGUCUCUGUUACAUGAGGUUUACCACAUGAGGUCACUGUCUACAAAGUUUGUAUCAUUUCAUGUUAUGGCGCUAGCGUUCAUCUGUUAGCCCUCAAGUCUCGUGUUGCUCACGUCACAGCUGUAAAUAGUUGCUUGUAGUUCUGGGCAUUCUUAUAGGGAUUUUCUUAGUUAUUUCAGGUUUUUCCAUCCUUGUAGCUCUUAUUUAGCCUUUGUGUUAUAGGAUACUCUGAAAUUGCCAUUAAACCCAUGACUAUUUCUCAAGUCUUUGAAUCUGUCGAGUCACAAGCAAUUCAAAACUAUAAUGCCAACGCUUGGAUUUGUGAACGUGUGUUUAAACAAGAUGUGCUUUCAGUCAUUUCUUUGAAUUGACGAUAACACGAGACUCAGCAAGCGCUUUUUUAUGUUGAAUUUCGACCUUGGGUUGAUUAGCUUAAAAAAUAUAGCGUAGUAAACAAAUAAAAUCUCACUUACCGGUGGACAACAGCUUUACAUGCCAUCUGUCUCGGUGUUAGGCAGAGUCAGUGAGUCACCGCUUGCCAUGACGCGUUGGUAAAUGGAGUAAAUUAUAUGAUCAUUUCAUCAUAAAUGAUAUCAUCCAACUCAGCUCACUGAGAAGUGAGCCCAUAAACGGAGAUGUUUAUUUAUUUAUUUAUUUGCAUAAAACUACUAUAUUCAAAUCACACAAAUGAGCACAAUCAAGUUUAAACAUCGCGUUAGCACAAAUUCUAAGUGUAUGUUGCUUGGCAACGGAAUGCGUAACGCACGUCAACAUCAGGUGCCUGGAGACACUGGCGCAGAGACGCAUAGAUGGCGGAGAGAAACACUCUGGAGAAGCUCGAUUUGGGCGCUUUAAGCCUCGAGCAGCAGGAGAAGCUGCACCAGUUCAAGGUAUUUCAUUUUCUUCUGCUGAAAGUUAUUAACGAGUCUGGAAAUUUUAUUGGCUCUGGAUAAAGUUCUACUAAUUAACCUCGUAAGUCUAAAGAACAGUAGAUAUAUGGCAUUUAUUAAAGCUAUUGUAUGGGAAAUGUGAUUGAUUUUUUUUUUUUUUUAAAGCAAAACCUAAACUUCACAUUUGUGAUUUCACAUGCUCCAGGUCAAGACGCGGAUAGCUAAUGAAAAAUAUUUAAGGUCUCAUCCAGAGGUGGAAAUGUUACUCAGUGACUUCUUAAGGGAUGUGUUUCUGAAAAGGCCUACAGAUAUUCGUGAAUUUGCAGCAGAUCAUUUCAGUGACCCAGGACUGCCAAAGAAAAUUCAGGAGCAAAUGAAUAUCCAUAAUAAGUGAAAAAUGGAUUUAUAGUGUUUUGUAAUAAAAGAGAGAAAAAUGAUGCAAUGUGUGUCAGUCUUGAUCCCUACAUAUGCAUGAAAGCAUCUUUGUUGUAUACUGUUAUUAGCAACCAUUAGUGUGCAGGUAUCAGGGGAGAGGACAGUCCAGGCUUGUUUGCUAAAUGAGUCCACAGAGAAGAAAGGCAAAUUAAGCUGAAUUGAACAGGUCUUUCUAUUCUGUUAAAGGGAUACUCCACCCUAAAAUGAAAAUGUUGUCAUUAAUCACUUACCCCAAUGUCGUUCCAAACCGGUAAAAGCUUUGUUCAUCUUCGGAACACAAUUUAAGAUAUUUUAGAUGAAACAUACAGCGUCAUACUUACUAUUGUUUCCAC